AGUAGCUGCAGGGAGGAAGAAUCGAGAUGGCUUCAGCAAAGCCCUCCACUUUGCUUGGGAGAAGGGGGCGUUUGUGGGCAGGGCAUUGCAUGGGAAACUGCAAUGUGCACUUGUUUGACCUGGAUCCCUGGUUCAAAUGCAUCCCCUGGUCCCUGCAGGUCCGGGGUGGGGCUGGAGCUUUUGUGUGUCUCAUCAGCUCCCAGAAACAUUUAUCGAGUGCCUAUGGCAUGUCAGGCACAGUUCAAGUUCUGAGGAUACAGAGUAAACAACAGGCAACAUCACGCCUCCUCGAGCUUCUGUUCUACUGGGAGUCAGGGUAGGAAGAGACGACAACAAGGUAAAUAAGUCAAAUCCGGACUGUGUUACUGACAAUGCAAGCUAGGAGAAAAAAGGAAGCAGGAGCAGAGAGGAGCCUGGGUGAUGAUGGAGAUGGGGAGUUUACUUAAAUAGGUGGCCAUGAGGCUAUCCAGCCUGUCCCAGGCGGACUUUUAGAAGACGGAUUGUUUAUAAGAGCCCAAAAGUAUAAGUUCUUAAAAAAAAUUAAUUUCUGAAUGUGUGAUGAGAACACAAAUUCCUCCACGACAGCCCUGUUUUUCCUGUGCUGCGUAGCUGAGCUCUGGGUCACGGCUGCCGAGUGCAGGCAACACUCGGGCAGUCCCAGGGCUGACCGACUGCGCAUCUGGACACUGGCAAUCACAGGGAAGGAGGCGAGAGCUCUGCCGGGUGCUUUGAGGCUGUCGCGUCAUGUCUUCCUCCCCACAGCGUUCUGCGGGGC
Molecule: long non-coding RNA, 775 nt
Filed under: Homo sapiens (human)
Lineage: Eukaryota; Metazoa; Chordata; Mammalia; Primates; Hominidae
Description: HSALNT0383771
Source: RNAcentral